Molecule: ribosomal RNA, 397 nt
Filed under: uncultured bacterium
Lineage: Bacteria
Description: partial 16S ribosomal RNA
Rfam family: Bacterial small subunit ribosomal RNA
Source: RNAcentral
AAUAUUGCACAAUGGAGGAAACUCUGAUGCAGCGACGCCGCGUGAACGAUGAAGGCUUUCGGGUCGUAAAGAUCUGUCCUAGGGGACGAUAAUGACGGUACCCUAGGAGGAAGCCCCGGCGAACUACGUGCCUGGACUCGCGGUAAUACGUAGGGGGCGAGCGUUGGGCGGAAUUAUUUGGCGUAAAGGGUUCGCAGGCGGUCUUUUAAGUCAGAUGUGAAAGAUCACGGCUCAAACGUGGUAAGCAUUUGAAACUGGGGGACUUGAGUUAUGGAGAGGAAAGUGGAAUUCCUAGUGUAGCGGUGAAAUGCGUAGAUAUUAGGAGGAAUACCAGUGGCGAAGGCGACUUUCUGGACAUAUACUGACGCUGAGGAACGAAAGCGUGGGGAGCAAACAG